This 680-nucleotide ribosomal RNA is filed under the name Vibrio sp. Its description in RNAcentral is "bacterial SSU rRNA". The record is from RNAcentral. Lineage: Bacteria; Pseudomonadati; Pseudomonadota; Gammaproteobacteria; Vibrionales; Vibrionaceae.
ACAUGCAAGUCGAGCGGAAACGACACUAACAAUCCUUCGGGUGCGUUAAUGGGCGUCGAGCGGCGGACGGGUGAGUAAUGCCUAGGAAAUUGCCUUGAUGUGGGGGAUAACCAUUGGAAACGAUGGCUAAUACCGCAUAAUGCCUACGGGCCAAAGAGGGGGACCUUCGGGCCUCUCGCGUCAAGAUAUGCCUAGGUGGGAUUAGCUAGUUGGUGAGGUAAUGGCUCACCAAGGCGACGAUCCCUAGCUGGUCUGAGAGGAUGAUCAGCCACACUGGAACUGAGACACGGUCCAGACUCCUACGGGAGGCAGCAGUGGGGAAUAUUGCACAAUGGGCGAAAGCCUGAUGCAGCCAUGCCGCGUGUAUGAAGAAGGCCUUCGGGUUGUAAAGUACUUUCAGUUGUGAGGAAGGGGGURKYGUUAAUAGCRYSAUCUCUUGACGUUAGCAACAGAAGAAGCACCGGCUAACUCCGUGCCAGCAGCCGCGGUAAUACGGAGGGUGCGAGCGUUAAUCGGAAUUACUGGGCGUAAAGCGCAUGCAGGUGGUUCAUUAAGUCAGAUGUGAAAGCCCGGGGCUCAACCUCGGAACUGCAUUUGAAACUGGUGAACUAGAGUACUGUAGAGGGGGGUAGAAUUUCAGGUGUAGCGGUGAAAUGCGUAGAGAUCUGAAGGAAUACCAG